This 679-nucleotide ribosomal RNA is filed under the name uncultured Alphaproteobacteria bacterium. RNAcentral describes it as "bacterial SSU rRNA". It matches the Rfam family "Bacterial small subunit ribosomal RNA", at positions 49 to 776 of the family's 1533-position model. Lineage: Bacteria; Pseudomonadati; Pseudomonadota; Alphaproteobacteria. The record is from RNAcentral.
UAAUACAUGCAAGUCGAACGGCUCUUCGGAGCAGUGGCGGACGGGUGAGUAACGCGUGGGAACGUGCCCUUUGGUUCGGAACAACACAGGGAAACUUGUGCUAAUACCGAAUGUGCCCUUCGGGGGAAAGAUUUAUCGCCAUUGGAGCGGCCCGCGUUGGAUUAGCUAGUUGGUGGGGUAAAGGCCCACCAAGGCGACGAUCCAUAGCUGGUCUGAGAGGAUGAUCAGCCACACUGGGACUGAGACACGGCCCAGACUCCUACGGGAGGCAGCAGUAGGGAAUCUUGCGCAAUGGGCGAAAGCCUGACGCAGCCAUGCCGCGUGAAUGAUGAAGGUCUUAGGAUUGUAAAAUUCUUUCACCGGGGAAGAUAAUGACGGUACCCGGAGAAGAAGCCCCGGCUAACUUCGUGCCAGCAGCUGCGGUAAUACGAAGGGGGCUAGCGUUGCUCGGAAUUACUGGGCGUAAAGGGCGCGUAGGCGGACAGUUUAGUCAGAGGUGAAAGCCCAGGGCUCAACCUUGGAAUUGCCUUUGAUACUGGCUGUCUUGAGUUCGGGAGAGGUGAGUGGAAUGCCGAGUGUAGAGGUGAAAUUCGUAGAUAUUCGGCGGAACACCAGUGGCGAAGGCGACUCACUGGCCCGAUACUGACGCUGAGGCGCGAAAGCGUGGGGAGCAAACAGG